GUCCAGCCGACGAGUUCCAAGUAGGACGAAACACGCGUCUUGAAU
Molecule: non-coding RNA, 45 nt
Filed under: Schistosoma bovis
Lineage: Eukaryota; Metazoa; Platyhelminthes; Trematoda; Strigeidida; Schistosomatidae
Also listed under: 1 other name
Source: RNAcentral